This 491-nucleotide long non-coding RNA is filed under the name Hordeum vulgare. RNAcentral describes it as "long non-coding RNA (HVUL_LNC006320)". Lineage: Eukaryota; Viridiplantae; Streptophyta; Magnoliopsida; Poales; Poaceae. The record is from RNAcentral.
UCCAUUCCAACACAUACUAACAUAAGCUGGUGGAACUAGAACAAUCACAAACUCACAAUAUGAAGUUUACCAGCUCAAUAUAAGUAUUUGAAUCAGAACAGAAAAUAAAUUUAAAUUUUGAGUAGCCUAUGGGUCAAAAAUAACUAAUUGAGCAAACACUUAGGCCAUGUACAAUGGUUGAUAAGAUAGUGUUAUCUUAAGUCUUGCGUGUAAUUUAGAGAUGAAAAAAUGUCUACAAUGGGUCAUCUCUUAGCCUUAUCUUCAAUAACUAGCUAUUCCUAUAAACAUGGUGAGACAUAUUGUGCUAAGAGAUCAUCGCUUGUCUUCUCUUAAAUAAGAGAAGGCAAAACCUUUUUUUAUGAGUUCUCUCCUCCACCUCAUCAUUUAUCCUAUGUGGCACUCCAAAGAUAGCACCAUUGUACAUGCCCUUAUCUACUGUUUCAAACACAUAGAAUUGGUUUCUGUUAUAAUUAUCAGACAAGUAACAGAAU